GGCCCGUUAGUCAAGAGGCCUAAGACGCCGGCCCUUCAAGCCGGUAACAGGGGUUCGAAUCCCCUACGGGCCA
RNAcentral lists this transfer RNA (73 nucleotides) under Clostridia bacterium. Its description in RNAcentral is "tRNA-Glu". It matches the Rfam family "tRNA". Rfam says of the family: Transfer RNA (tRNA) molecules are approximately 80 nucleotides in length. Their secondary structure includes four short double-helical elements and three loops (D, anti-codon, and T loops). Further hydrogen bonds mediate the characteristic L-shaped molecular structure. tRNAs have two regions of fundamental functional importance: the anti-codon, which is responsible for specific mRNA codon recognition, and the 3' end, to which the tRNAs corresponding amino acid is attached (by aminoacyl-tRNA synthetases). tRNAs cope with the degeneracy of the genetic code in two manners: having more than one tRNA (with a specific anti-codon) for a particular amino acid; and 'wobble' base-pairing, i.e. permitting non-standard base-pairing at the 3rd anti-codon position. Lineage: Bacteria; Bacillati; Bacillota; Clostridia. The record is from RNAcentral.